UCCCUACGGGGUGCAGCAGGCGCGAAACAUUCGCAAUGCGCGCAAGCGCGACGAGGGGAACUCGAGUGCCAUUGCCAUUUGGGAUGGCUUUUCUUGACCCUAAAAAGAUCAGGGAAUAAAAGCUGGGUAAGACGGGUCCAGCCGCCGCGGUAAUACCCGCAGCUCGAGUGGUGGCCACUAUUAUUGAGCCUAAAGCGUCCGUAGCCGGUCUUGUAAAUCUCUGGGUAAAUCCUGCCGCUUAACGGUGGGAAUGCUGGAGAGACUGCAAGACUGGGGAUCGGGUGAAGCGAGAGGUACUCCUGGGGUAGGGGUAAAAUCCUGUAAUCCUGGGGGGACGACCGGUGGCGAAAGCGUCUCGCUAGAACGACUCCGACGGUGAGGGACGAAGGCUAGGGGAGCAAACCGGAUUAGAUACCCGGGUAGUCCUAGCUGUAAACGCUGCAGCACCUUGGUGUUGCCCCUUCUUUGGGAAAGGGCAGUCCCGGAGGAA
RNAcentral lists this ribosomal RNA (490 nucleotides) under uncultured archaeon. Its description in RNAcentral is "bacterial SSU rRNA". It matches the Rfam family "Archaeal small subunit ribosomal RNA", at positions 319 to 809 of the family's 1478-position model. The record is from RNAcentral.